UGAACCGGCCCAGGUCGGAAACGG
This 24-nucleotide non-coding RNA is filed under the name Cricetulus griseus (Chinese hamster). Lineage: Eukaryota; Metazoa; Chordata; Mammalia; Rodentia; Cricetidae. RNAcentral also lists the same sequence under 1 other name. The record is from RNAcentral.